AUUGAACGCUGGCGGCAUGCCUUACACAUGCAAGUCGAACGGCAGCACGGGUGCUUGCCCCUGGUGGCGAGUGGCGAACGGGUGAGUAAUACAUCGGAACAUGUCCUGUAGUGGGGGAUAGCCCGGCGAAAGCCGGAUUAAUACCGCAUACGAUCUACGGAUGAAAGCGGGGGACCUUCGGGCCUCGCGCUAUAGGGUUGGCCGAUGGCUGAUUAGCUAGUUGGUGGGGUAAAGGCCUACCAAGGCGACGAUCAGUAGCUGGUCUGAGAGGACGACCAGCCACACUGGGACUGAGACACGGCCCAGACUCCUACGGGAAGCAGCAGUGGGGAAUUUUGGACAAUGGGCGAAAGCCUGAUCCAGCAAUGCCGCGUGUGUGAAGAAGGCCUUCGGGUUGUAAAGCACUUUUGUCCGGAAAGAAAUCCUUGGCCCUAAUACGGUCGGGGGAUGACGGUACCGGAAGAAUAAGCACCGGCUAACUACGUG
RNAcentral lists this ribosomal RNA (486 nucleotides) under uncultured bacterium. RNAcentral describes it as "partial 16S ribosomal RNA". It matches the Rfam family "Bacterial small subunit ribosomal RNA", at positions 30 to 507 of the family's 1533-position model. The record is from RNAcentral.